This 324-nucleotide ribosomal RNA is filed under the name uncultured eukaryote. Its description in RNAcentral is "partial 18S ribosomal RNA". It matches the Rfam family "Eukaryotic small subunit ribosomal RNA", at positions 1470 to 1796 of the family's 1831-position model. The record is from RNAcentral.
CCCUUAGAUGUUCUGGGCCGCACGCGCGCUACACUGACGAAUGCAACGAGCUUAUAACCUUGGCCGACAGGCCUGGGCAAUCUUUGAACAUCGAUCGUGAUCGGGAUAGAUUCUUGUAAUUUUUGAUCUUAAACGAGGAAUUCCUAGUAAACGCAAGUCAUCAGCUUGCAUUGAUUACGUCCCUGCCCUUUGUACACACCGCCCGUCGCACCUACCGAUUGAAUGGUCCGGUGAAAUCUCCGGACUGGCGUGAGUCGGAGCAAUCUGACAAACACCGGAAAGUUGAUUAAACCUUACCAUUUAGAGGAAGGUGAAGUCGUAACA